AACUUUCAGCAAUGGAUCACUUGGCUCUCGCAUCGAUGAAGAACGCAGCGAAAAGCGAUAAGUAAUGUGAAUUGCAGAAUUCAGUGAAUCAUCGAAUCUUUGAACGCACCUUGCACCCUUUGGAAUUCCAAAGGGUAUGCUCGUUUGAGUGUCAUUGUACUCUCACACUCUCCGAUCCUCUGGAUUUGGGGAGCGGUGGACUUGGGUGCUUGCUGCUUUCCUUGCGGCUCACCUCAAAUGCGUCAGUGCAUCUCUUGAUUGGACAUAGUACGGCGUGAUAAGUGUCUUCGCCGGCACCUCAUAAGAGGGUGGCUGAUCGGGAGCUCUGUGCUUUCAAACCGUCUUCGGACACUCUCUGACAACUUGACCUCAAAUCAGGUAGGACUACCCGCUGAACUUAAGCAUAUCAAUAAGCGGAGGCU
Molecule: unclassified non-coding RNA, 422 nt
Filed under: uncultured Sebacina
Lineage: Eukaryota; Fungi; Basidiomycota; Agaricomycetes; Sebacinales; Sebacinaceae
Description: sequence contains ITS2
Rfam family: 5.8S ribosomal RNA (bases 1-154)
Source: RNAcentral